AAGUCAAAAGGAUUGGGUCGGUGUACUAUGGGAAGUCAAAAGGUUGAGUCGAUGUAUUGGCGCUUAAUAUUACCACCUUCUUCCCUCUUCAACUCUUCACUCUUCGCUCUUCCACUCUUCACUCGUCCACCGGAGAGGCUAAUCUCUGUAACUCCGCUCCUCCGAGACCCAAACACCCCUUUCAUUCAAAGAAAUUAACAAGAUCGUCGUAAGUUUUCAUUCUUCUCCCUUUCAUUCGUUCUUCAAUCAUCCCGCGGCUCCCCAAACACCGCCGGAGACAUGUUAGAGGGUUUUACUUGGAGGGGGACUCUUUCACACCACCGUAUCUCCUUUCUUCUAGCGACGCCAGUGUUUCCUCUUUCUUUCAUUCUCGGGCGUUCAAGAAUUCUCUGCCUUUCCCUCUGCGUCUCUUAGUGUAUUUCAUUGACAUCUGGUUGCGAUGUAAUUUUGGUCCACCAUCGAUCAACAAAAAAGAGUACAAUCUUUCUCAUCUGAUCUCCAGGUAGCAUGUUUUAGUUUAUGGUAACUUUUUUGUGUCAUGAAACUGUUUUUUUUUUCUAAGCAUGCAUCAUCAUCGCGUGAAGGAUCAAACACUAUGCCCAUGGAUCUUCUUGAACUAUAUCAAAGGUCACCCAAUCGAAACUAGAUCAUCCAUCAGACGGAGAUGAUUGGUCAAGAAAGUUGUGAUGUGCUGUCAGUAAAACUUAAAUAGUUUUGAAACCCAAAAGAGUAUUGGAUUCUAGAGAUUGAAUCUUAAUCAAAUGAGGAUACUUUCAAGAGGCGAUGUAUGAAAGGACAACAUGGAAUUGUGGGAUGACAUGGCAGAAUUGAGACCUAUUGUGUGAUUAUAUAACAAAGUAUAUUAUGGUGAAGUCAUCUCAUCUGAUGGUCUGAGAGAAACUAGAGCAAUACUGGAUCAGUCAAGAGCAACCAGAAAUCUGGAAGAAAAAAUGAACAUUUACAAUGAUGCCAUGCUUAGUAGUGCCAAGGUAUUUUUUCCUUGGUUUUAGCUGUUGGUCACCUUGGCCAUCCAGAACCUGUUGAGAAUUGGUGGUGCGAGUCUUGUACUAUAAACAUGAAGAUGCUUCUUAUGAUAACAAAUAAACGGCCAAAGGAAGCAACUAAAACUCUAAAGAAAGGUUAAAAGAAAAUUAUGGCUUCAAGUUUUGAAUUCGGUCGUAAACAUCUUCACUUAACCUUGCACAAAGUAAAGAUGACAUUCUACAAGUGAAGAGUAACUUAACUAGAGCAGUUGAGAGCACCUACAAAUCUGGAAUAAAGCUAAAAAUGACUGACCAUUAAUAUGAUGCGGAUACCAAGAUCUUAUGCUGCAUCUCCAUUGAAGUUAGUGUUCGACUUAAACACUUCAAAUAACAUGAGGGUCUUUGAUUUGAGUUCACAUUUAAUGAUUUCUGCCAUUUUGAUUACUUGCCAUAUGAAUUUAGGGAAAUAACAACCAUCACCCUUUUCUACCCUUUUCUUUUUGUCCACCAAAACCAGAUGGAUGAUUUGUUAUACAAGUGAACACCAAAGGUACUUUCCCCAUGGAAACCUGAUUGGCACACAUCACACAUAUGAAAGGACAACUUGAAAUUGUUGGAUGACAUGGCCGAAUUUGAUGCUGAAUUAGGUGUCUGGUUAUUGCAGUGAAGUCGUAUCUCAUCUGAUGGUCUGAGAGAAACUAGAGCAAUAAUGGAGCAGUCAAGAGCAACUAGAAAUCUGGAAGAUAAAAAAAGAAGCUAAAUGAACAUUUAUUAUUUUUCUUAUUAGGUCACUGUACUUUGAUAAACUGAACAUGUUUGGUUUUGGUUAACAUGUAAUUUCUACCCUUAACACUGGAAAAUACUUCAUGCUUUUUAUGUUCUUUGUUAGCUAUUCUGUUAAUGUUUAAAGGAUGUUGUGUUGGG
Molecule: long non-coding RNA, 1907 nt
Organism: Lactuca sativa (garden lettuce)
Lineage: Eukaryota; Viridiplantae; Streptophyta; Magnoliopsida; Asterales; Asteraceae
Source: RefSeq, a predicted model, not a curated record